UGAAAGCGCAAAGGGCGUAUGGCGGAUGCCUACGCACCAAAUGGCGAAGAAGGACGUGGCGAACUGCGAUAAGCCUCGGGUAGCUGUAAGCGAGCUUUGAUCCGGGGAUUUCCGAAUGGGGCAACCCGGCAGGUUGGAGACCUGUCAUCCUUUUAAGGAAGCGAACGUGGUGAACUGAAACAUCUUAGUAGCCACAGGAAAAGAAAGUAACAACGAUUCCCUGAGUAGCGGCGAGCGAACGGGGAUUAGCCUAAACCAGCAAUAGCUGGGGUAGUGGGACAGCGAUAUCUCACCAUAAACUUAUAGACGAACCGUUCUGGAAAGUUCGACCAUAGAGGGUGAAAGUCCUGUAGUCGAAAUAGGUUUAUGGGGGUAGCUGCAUCCCGAGUAGUCCGGGACACGUGAAAUCUUGGAUGAAUCUGCGAGGACCAUCUCGUAAGGCUAAAUACAUUUGGUGACUGAUAGCGUAGCAGUACCGUGAGGGAAAGGUGAAAAGAACCCCGGGAGGGGAGUGAAAUAGAACCUGAAACCGUAUGCCUACAAGCGGUCAGAGCGGGACAUUAUGUUCUGUGAUGGCGUGCCUUUUGCAUAAUGAGCCAACGAGUUAAUAUCAUAAGCGAGGUUAAGUAUUACAGGUAUGGAGCCGCAGCGAAAGCGAGUGUUAAUAGCGCGUAUAGUUUAUGGUAUUAGACCCGAAACCAGGUGAUCUACCCAUGGUCAGGUUGAAGGUUGGGUAAAACCAACUGGAGGACCGAACCAACCGUCGUUGAAAAGGCGGUGGAUGAACUGUGGGUAGGGGUGAAAGGCCAAUCAAACCUGGAGAUAGCUGGUUCUCUCCGAAACAUAUUUAGGUAUGGCCUCAGGUUAAUAUUAACGGAGGUAGAGCACUGAAUGGGCUAGGGGGCUUACAGGCUUACUGAACCCAAUCAAACUCCGAAUGCCGUUAAUCAAUGCCUGGGAGACAGGGCGUGAGGGAUAAGCUUCACGUGCGAGAGGGGAACAACCCAGACUGUCAGCUAAGGCCCUUAAAUAGAUGCUUAGUGCGUAAGGAUGUUCAAUUGCCCAGACAGCCAGGAUUUUGGCUUAGAAGCAGCCACGAUUUAAAGAGUGCGUAACAGCUCACUGGUCGAGUGGUAGAGCACCGAAGAUGAUCGGGACUUAAGCAUUUUGCCGAAGCUACGGAAUUAUACCUUUUGGUAUAGUUGGUAGGAGAGCGUUGUGAACUGCGCAGAAGGUGAGUUGUGAGACUUGCUGGAGCGUUCACAAGAGACCAUGUUGGCAUGAGUAACGAUAAUGCAGGCGAGAAACCUGCACACCAUAAGCCCAAGGAUUCCUGAGUAAAGUUAAUCUGCUCAGGGUUAGUCGGCCCCUAAGGUGUAGCCGUUUGGCGAAGCUGAUGGGAAUCGGAUUAAUAUUUCCGAACCUGUGUAUCAAGCGAUGGAGUGACGCGAUGUUGCAGCGGGGACGGCUGCUGGAAUAGCCGUUGAAUUCGUGUAGGAGGUGUCCCAGGCAAAUCCGGGGCACAUAUACUCCGAGGCGCAGGACGAAGCUUAAGCUACAAAGCCCGUGUAUAUAUAUCGCCGAGAAAUAGCUUCUAAGCAUAUUGAUAUACAGACCGUACCGCAAACCAACACAGGUAGGCGAGGAGAGUAUCCUCAGGUGUUCGAGCAAACUCUGGUUAAGGAACUAGGCAAAAUCACCCCGUAACUUUGGGAGAAGGGGUACCCCGUUAUUGUGAAGGACUUCGCGUCCGGAGCGAGAGGGGGUCGCAGUGAAUAGGCCCAAGCGACUGUUUAUCAAAAACACAGGUCUAUGCGAAGGGGAAACCCACGGUAUAUAGACUGACGCCUGCCCGGUGCCGGAAGGUUAAAUGGAGAGGUUAGCGUCUUCGGAUGCGAAGCUUUGAAAUGAAGCCCCGGUAAACGGCGGCCGUAACUAUAACGGUCCUAAGGUAGCGAAAUUCCUUGUCGGGUAAGUUCCGACCUGCACGAAUGGUGUAACGACUUGGGCGCUGUCUCAACCAGGGGCUCGGUGAAAUUGAAGUAGCGGUGAAGAUGCCGCUUACCCGCGAACGGACGGGAAGACCCCGUGAACCUUUACUGCAACUUGGCAUUGUAAAUUGGUGCAGUAUGUGUAGGAUAGGUGGGAGGCUAUGAAGCGUGUACGCCAGUAUGCGUGGAGCCAUCGUUGAAAUACCACCCUUAUUGUAUUGGUUUACUAACGAUGCUAAAG
RNAcentral lists this ribosomal RNA (2232 nucleotides) under bioreactor metagenome. RNAcentral describes it as "bacterial LSU rRNA". It matches the Rfam family "Bacterial large subunit ribosomal RNA", at positions 1 to 2236 of the family's 2925-position model. The record is from RNAcentral.